RNAcentral lists this long non-coding RNA (490 nucleotides) under Aquilegia coerulea. Its description in RNAcentral is "long non-coding RNA (ACOE_LNC000393)". The record is from RNAcentral. Lineage: Eukaryota; Viridiplantae; Streptophyta; Magnoliopsida; Ranunculales; Ranunculaceae.
UUGACUGGAAACUUUUGUUGGACAGCUUGUGGCUAAGUUAUGCAUUCAAAAAGUUCAAGGAUAGAGAAGUGAGUGAUGUUUAUGGACUUCUACUAGAGAACAUAGAAGAGGAUGAAGAUAUUGAUAAGGUGUGUAUGUACUUGGUAGUAUGAUUGCUGAAAUGGAAUUUUUUUUUCUAAAUUCCUUUCUCAUUUUUUUUUCACAGAAUGAUUCUGAGGAUGAUAUUGUGGUGGAUCAAACUCGUGGCCUGGACCUACCCAGUUCAAACACAGCUUUGAGUACCCAUCCAAGCAUGGAAAAAGAAAAUGAUGAAGAAGGCAUGACUGCGAAAAGAACUCCAGUAUGUGUAUGUAUUUGGUGCAAGUAAUGAGACAUGUUGUGAGUAUGAUUGCUGAAAUGGAUUUUUUUUUUCUAAAUUCCUUUUAUCAUUUUAUUUUGGGUAAUUUCCUGAAUAAGCACAACUUUAUGUUGUUUCUUCCCAAAUAAACAC